This 496-nucleotide ribosomal RNA is filed under the name uncultured bacterium. Its description in RNAcentral is "partial 16S ribosomal RNA". It matches the Rfam family "Bacterial small subunit ribosomal RNA", at positions 28 to 507 of the family's 1533-position model. The record is from RNAcentral.
GAUGAACGCUGGCGGCGUGCCUAAUACAUGCAAGUCGAGCGAACAGAUGAGGAGCUUGCUCCUCUGACGUUAGCGGCGGACGGGUGAGUAACACGUGGAUAACCUACCUAUAAGACUGGGAUAACUUCGGGAAACCGGAGCUAAUACCGGAUAAUAUAUUGAACCGCAUGGUUCAAUAGUGAAAGACGGUUUUGCUGUCACUUAUAGAUGGAUCCGCGCCGCAUUAGCUAGUUGGUAAGGUAACGGCUUACCAAGGCAACGAUGCGUAGCCGACCUGAGAGGGUGAUCGGCCACGCUGGAACUGAGACACGGUCCAGACUCCUACGGGAGGCAGCAGUAGGGAAUCUUCCGCAAUGGGCGAAAGCCUGACGGAGCAACGCCGCGUGAGUGAUGAAGGUCUUCGGAUCGUAAAACUCUGUUAUUAGGGAAGAACAAAUGUGUAAGUAACUAUGCACGUCUUGACGGUACCUAAUAGAAAGCCACGGCUAACUACGUG